UACGUAGGGGGCGAGCGUUAUCCGGAUUCAUUGGGCGUAAAGCGCGCGUAGGCGGCCGCCUAAGCGGAACCUCUAACCCCGGGGCUCAACCUCGGGCCGGGUCCCGAACUGGCAGCCUCGAGUGCGGUAGGGGUAAGCGGAAUUCCCGGUGUAGCGGUGGAAUGCGCAGAUAUCGGGAAGAACACCGAUGGCGAAGGCAGCUUACUGGGCCGACACUGACGCUGAGGCGCGAAAGCUAGGGGAGCGAACAGG
Molecule: ribosomal RNA, 252 nt
Filed under: uncultured Adlercreutzia sp.
Lineage: Bacteria; Bacillati; Actinomycetota; Coriobacteriia; Eggerthellales; Eggerthellaceae
Description: partial 16S ribosomal RNA
Rfam family: Bacterial small subunit ribosomal RNA
Source: RNAcentral